Small nucleolar RNA from Grammomys surdaster, 127 nucleotides. RefSeq annotates it as small nucleolar RNA SNORA17. Lineage: Eukaryota; Metazoa; Chordata; Mammalia; Rodentia; Muridae. The transcript has a single exon. The record is from RefSeq and is a predicted model, not a curated record.
UCUGCCCCAUUAACCAUUUCAUGCUGCUGUGUCACAUGUGCAUCAGUAGGUGGCAGAGGAGAGAGAGGUUAUGUCCAUGUCCAGUGUUCUGAUCUGUGAACAUCUGAAUGAUUAGUAGCCUAACACU